This is a long non-coding RNA of Tripterygium wilfordii, 895 nucleotides long. RefSeq lists it as uncharacterized. NCBI's taxonomy places the organism in Eukaryota, Viridiplantae, Streptophyta, Magnoliopsida, Celastrales, Celastraceae. The record is from RefSeq and is a predicted model, not a curated record. The transcript is spliced from 4 exons.
UUUAGCUCUGUUUGGAUAUUUGGUAAAAUCAGUUUCGAGUCUUAGUAUUCAGUUACAUAAAAUGUGUUUCUUUUCGCCCAUCUUGGAUUACGGCUUGAAAUGAGGUUUAGUUAUGAUUUUGAGGCUGAAAGUUGCAUCAAGCAUGACAUCGAAGAUCAUGUAUAUCGUGUUCAUGGCAGAGGAGGAUUCUUGAAAAUUUGUCAGGUUCGAAGGUUUGAAACGUUGGAGCAAGCACUUUUGGUGAUAAGGGCUUUAUGGAAAAGUAUUUUUGGUCUUUGCCCCUGUCCUGAUAAGACCCCUUCAAGUGAAAGGAGAUAGUUCUUGUGGUAUCUUGCUUUAGUCACAGAAGGGUGUUCCUUGGAAACAUCCAUAUCCAAAGGCAAACUCAAUAAACCAAAUACUUUAUUCAUAACAGAUUAUUUUAAAUCUGUGAUAAGGGAUAUAAUUUCAUCUGCUUUGCUCCUCUUGGCAUCUCAAGUGAGGUGUCGUUUUGAGGUUGACUCUAUUUUCAUAGAGGAGGAGAUAUUUUUGUGUUCCUAUGAUGUUUAUACCAUUGAAUUGGUGCCCAAGUUUGCGAGAUUUGAUGUACAAGGUGAGUAUCAAAUUGAUGACCUUCGGGUACGCACAAAGUUGAAGACUCUUUUGCUGGAGAUCAUGAGUCGAUCUCGUAUUGGGGCUGGUCCGGAAGCAGAAUUUGAUCUUUUCUUGAAGACUUUCACUGACGGUUGUAAAAAUAUGGAUUUAAAGCCUUAUAUGAAAGUAUAUACUACUAGACUUCCUACUGAAUGGUAUUACAAUGUGGUGUUUGCAUCGAAGGUUGAGCGCAUGGAAUUGAUUGAGCGCUUAUAUGAACUCUUCGAUGGAUCUGAAAAAUAUGUUGUUUGUUACAAUGUGC